This 230-nucleotide long non-coding RNA is filed under the name Solanum lycopersicum (tomato). RNAcentral's name for it is "partial TCONS_00154228". The record is from RNAcentral. Lineage: Eukaryota; Viridiplantae; Streptophyta; Magnoliopsida; Solanales; Solanaceae.
CAAGUGCUAUAAAUGAGCACAUUGCAUAACACUUCAUAAAAUCUUGAAAAAGGUUCAGGUACCUGAAAUAAUGAAAAAUGAAGAGAUCUCGAUAAGUUAUGUCUUGUUGGAAUCGAUAUCAAAUAACCGUCGACGGUAUCUUUGAUAUGAGGUAGCUCUCAAUGAUAUAAAUUGUGAUGAGGAUCUUGAAUUCAAAUCUAUCAUAUAGUGUGGACAGAUAAAUGGUUGGC